GCGUUGUUGGUGCAGUGGUAGCAUGCCUCAUUUGGGUCUCUUGAAGUGAAAGCUUAUGAAUUUCCGGCAUUGAGGUGGUCCUCGGUUCAAUCCCGGGACGACGCC
Molecule: transfer RNA, 105 nt
Filed under: Kwoniella mangroviensis CBS 8886
Lineage: Eukaryota; Fungi; Basidiomycota; Tremellomycetes; Tremellales; Cryptococcaceae
Also listed under: 1 other name
Description: tRNA-Pro
Rfam family: tRNA
About the family: Transfer RNA (tRNA) molecules are approximately 80 nucleotides in length. Their secondary structure includes four short double-helical elements and three loops (D, anti-codon, and T loops).
Source: RNAcentral